AGAGUUUGAUCCUGGCUCAGAUUGAACGCUGGCGGCAUGCUUUACACACGCAAGUCGAACGGCAGCACGGGCUUCGGCCUGGUGGCGAGUGGCGAACGGGUGAGUAAUGCGUCGGAACGCGCCGAGUAGUGGGGGAUAACGCAGCGAAAGCUGUGCUAAUACCGCAUACGUACUGAGGUAGAAAGUGGGGGACCUUCGGGCCUCACGCUAUUCGAGCGGCCGACGUCUGAUUAGCUAGUUGGUGGGGUAAAGGCUCACCAAGGCGACGAUCAGUAGCGGGUCUGAGAGGAUGAUCCGCCACACUGGGACUGAGACACGGCCCAGACUCCUACGGGAGGCAGCAGUGGGGAAUUUUGGACAAUGGGCGCAAGCCUGAUCCAGCCAUGCCGCGUGUCUGAAGAAGGCCUU
This 408-nucleotide ribosomal RNA is filed under the name uncultured bacterium. RNAcentral's name for it is "bacterial SSU rRNA". It matches the Rfam family "Bacterial small subunit ribosomal RNA", at positions 8 to 418 of the family's 1533-position model. The record is from RNAcentral.